This is a long non-coding RNA of Archocentrus centrarchus (flier cichlid), 570 nucleotides long. RefSeq lists it as uncharacterized. The record is from RefSeq and is a predicted model, not a curated record. The transcript is spliced from 3 exons. NCBI's taxonomy places the organism in Eukaryota, Metazoa, Chordata, Actinopteri, Cichliformes, Cichlidae.
AUUGUGCUGUUUCCCUAAACAUGAUUCAAUCAUGAAACAUCCUUGUAAAUAGUCUUGUUGUUAGAUGGACAUGUUUCAAUCAUGACCACAUUACAUGAAAUAGUUGCAAUGUAUGGAAAAGCUCCUCCUACUUUUUUGAUACUAAAUUACCCCUCCCAAUCCUUUGCCCGGGAAAAGCAAUUAUACUGCAGAAGAAGAAGGCCCGAUUUUAUCAGUGCUGCCUGGAACUUUAAGGAGGCAAGGUGCUCUGCUAGAAUAAUGCAAUGAAUGGCAAGCUUGCCUGUUUCAAAGGCUCUGUAGUGUAUGUGGCAGUGUAAGGGGUGCCGGGUAGAAGUAUCAAGUAGGUCUGAACUUCUAAGACACUACAAAGUUAAACAUCCUCACUUUGGGCGCACUGCUAGAUUUCCAUGUACAUACUUUUCUUGUCCAUGCACAUUUAAAACAUGGAAUGCAUUAAUUUGCCACCAAAGUAGACUACACAGAAAUGUAACACAAAAAAAUCACUCAACUUUUACCUGUCAACUUUGUGAUUGUAAGAAUUUGGCAAACGAAAUAGAAUAUUUUAGUCAC